GGGUGUAUGGCUCAGUGUUAGAGCGCAUGUCUACCAUGCACAAGGUCCUGGGUUCAAUUCCCAGUACCUCCA
RNAcentral lists this transfer RNA (72 nucleotides) under Camelus bactrianus (Bactrian camel). It matches the Rfam family "tRNA". From Rfam's summary of the family: Transfer RNA (tRNA) molecules are approximately 80 nucleotides in length. Their secondary structure includes four short double-helical elements and three loops (D, anti-codon, and T loops). Further hydrogen bonds mediate the characteristic L-shaped molecular structure. tRNAs have two regions of fundamental functional importance: the anti-codon, which is responsible for specific mRNA codon recognition, and the 3' end, to which the tRNAs corresponding amino acid is attached (by aminoacyl-tRNA synthetases). tRNAs cope with the degeneracy of the genetic code in two manners: having more than one tRNA (with a specific anti-codon) for a particular amino acid; and 'wobble' base-pairing, i.e. permitting non-standard base-pairing at the 3rd anti-codon position. The record is from Rfam by way of RNAcentral. RNAcentral also lists the same sequence under 1 other name. Lineage: Eukaryota; Metazoa; Chordata; Mammalia; Artiodactyla; Camelidae.